RNAcentral lists this non-coding RNA (80 nucleotides) under Lentisphaerota bacterium. RNAcentral's name for it is "Lentisphaerae bacterium Fluoride sequence". It matches the Rfam family "Fluoride riboswitch aptamer (crcB RNA motif)". Lineage: Bacteria; Pseudomonadati; Lentisphaerota. The record is from RNAcentral.
UCCUCCCCGAGCGAUGGAGUUCGCUCAGAACUGCCCUGAUGAAUCUUUGUGAACUAAGGGAUGAUGACUCCUGCUGUAUC